ACUAGGAAAUGGACUAGAAUACGACCUGCUGGGGAACCCCCGUCUCCUAGGGCUGCGCACGCGGCAGCUGCUGUUGGUACUAUGGUUGCCUUUCAGGGCGGGAUAGGUCCUGCUGGGCAUUCAACUGAUGAUCUCUUUGUGCUUGACUUGACCAAUGACAAAUUCAAGUGGCACCGAGUGGUUGUACAAGGACAGGGCCCUGGGCCUCGCUAUGGGCAUGUAAUGGACCUGGUUGCCCAACGAUUCCUUGUUACUGUCAGUGGCAAUGAUGGGAAAAGAGUUCUAUCUGAUGCGUGGGCUUUGGAUACUGCCCAAAAGCCAUAUAUAUGGCAGCAACUAAAUCCUGAAGGUGAUAGGCCUUCUGCUAGAAUGUAUGCAACAGCUAAUGCCCGUUCAGAUGGCAUGUUUUUGCUAUGUGGUGGAAGAGAUUCUUCUGGCAUGGCACUUGGAGAUGCUUAUGGGCUUUUAAUGCAUAGAAAUGGUCAGUGGGAGUGGACUCUUGCACCCGGGGUAUCUCCUUCACCAAGGUACCAGCAUGCUGCGGUUUUUGUUGGUGCUCGAUUACAUGUUACAGGAGGUGCCCUGAGAGGGGGACGUUCAGUAGAAAGUGAUGCGGCUGUUGCAGUAUUGGACACUGCUGCUGGUGUUUGGUUGGA
Molecule: unclassified non-coding RNA, 656 nt
Filed under: Hevea brasiliensis (rubber tree)
Lineage: Eukaryota; Viridiplantae; Streptophyta; Magnoliopsida; Malpighiales; Euphorbiaceae
Source: RNAcentral